Molecule: ribosomal RNA, 254 nt
Filed under: uncultured bacterium
Lineage: Bacteria
Description: partial 16S ribosomal RNA
Rfam family: Bacterial small subunit ribosomal RNA
Source: RNAcentral
UACGUAGGGCGCAAGCGUUAUCCGGAAUUAUUGGGCGUAAAGAGCUCGUAGGCGGUUUGUCGCGUCUGCCGUGAAAGUCCGGGGCUCAACUCCGGAUCUGCGGUGGGUACGGGGCAGACUAGAGUGAUGUAGGGGAGACUGGAAUUCCUGGUGUAGCGGUGAAAUGCGCAGAUAUCAGGAGGAACACCGAUGGCGAAGGCAGGUCUCUGGGCAUUAACUGACGCUGAGGAGCGAAAGCAUGGGGAGCGAACAGG